Rosa rugosa (rugosa rose) is the source of this 1152-nucleotide long non-coding RNA. RefSeq lists it as uncharacterized. The record is from RefSeq and is a predicted model, not a curated record. The transcript has 6 exons. NCBI's taxonomy places the organism in Eukaryota, Viridiplantae, Streptophyta, Magnoliopsida, Rosales, Rosaceae.
UCUACUGUUGAUAUUGGUAGGUGCAUGAGGAACUUCUUAAUUGUUUCUUCAUUUUGUCUAAAAAUCCAUGGGCUGAAAGAAAAGAAAAUUUCCAUGGAUUAUGCUGUCAAAUUUUAGCCGUAAUGCACUGUAUUACUGGAUGGUAAAAGAUUUGCAUUUUAUCGAUGUUUGUUUCUAGAUGAGUGACACAGUGUUAUCAAUGUUUAUUUAAUUUGACUUCCAACAUUGUUUUAAAUUGACACAAUGUAUACAUUAAAUUUUUUGGCCUUUAUUUUGAUUGAGUGUGCAAGGAAGCUUUCCAUAGAAGAAGAGUUAUGUCUUUGAUUUGGAUUUUUUUUCUCAAAUUCAGUGUCUACCUGCUUGCUAUGUAACAUUUUAUUUCAGUGUCUAAAUGUUAUUUAUCAUUUGUAUGUAUCAUUUAAAUUUAGUUUUAGGUAAUCAUAUUUAGUUUCUUUUGUAUCUUUUUUCACAUCAAACUUUAUUUUUAACCGCUGCCUUAUCAAACAGGCUGUGAUUAAUUGUAGAGCACGUUACGCAAGGAAUCUAAGCAUAUAGAGUGCAGGGUACAAUCACCAUGUGGCAGCUACUGAAGCACUCUCUCUCAAAUCUGAACUCUCAAUAUUGCAGAAGAGGGAAGAAGGGUAAGAGGAAAUGAGAGGAGACAGAGAUAUCGAGGAGGUUUUGAUUUGGGUUCUGCCGAUGGGAGGAACGAAGAUGCAGAGGAGAGAAAGGAAAAGAAGAUGAAGAGGGAGAGCCUUCAGCAAUUAGAUACGCUAGGAUCGAAAUUCCAAGGGAAUGCCUUGAGAAAUGUAAGGAAGCUGUUGCAUUACUGAUGGUUGCUGCAGCUAGAUUUUCUGAUUUACCAGAGCACGUUGUCUGACAUUAGGCAACUAUUUCAAGAGAGAUAUGCGAACUCUCUAGCUUAUUGUGUGGAUCAAAAGUUUUUCAUGUGCUCUACUGCAUCACAACCUCAGCUUUGGGAGGGCACAAGAUUCAGAAAGGUUUAUGUACGCAAGGGAUACAUCAUUUUGAAAGAGUCAUUUGAACUUCUGGAGCCAGUCAUCAGUUUUCCUUUGCUUUGUGUGCUUCUUCAGACAGUUUUUCAAGCAGUUACUAUGAGUACCUGACUCUGAGGCAUGGUUUUAUCUCGGU